CUGGCUCAGAUUGAACGCUGGCGGCAUGCUUUACACAUGCAAGUCGGACGGCAGCACAGAGAAGCUUGCUUCUUGGGUGGCGAGUGGCGAACGGGUGAGUAACAUAUCGGAACGUACCGAGUAGUGGGGGAUAACUAAUCGAAAGAUUAGCUAAUACCGCAUACGUCUUGAGAGAGAAAGCAGGGGAUCUUCGGACCUUGCGCUAUUCGAGCGGCCGAUAUCUGAUUAGCUAGUUGGUGGGGUAAAGGCCUACCAAGGCGACGAUCAGUAGCGGGUCUGAGAGGAUGAUCCGCCACACUGGGACUGAGACACGGCCCAGACUCCUACGGGAGGCAGCAGUGGGGAAUUUUGGACAAUGGGCGCAAGCCUGAUCCAGCCAUGCCGCGUGUCUGAAGAAGGCCUUCGGGUUGUAAAGGACUUUUGUCAGGGAAGAAAAGGUUGGUGCUAAUAUCACUGACUGAUGACGGUACCUGAAGAAUAAGCACCGGCUAACUACGUGCCAGCAGCCGCGGUAAUACGUAGGGUGCGAGCGUUAAUCGGAAUUACUGGGCGUAAAGCGAGCGCAGACGGUUUGUUAAGCAGGAUGUGAAAUCCCCGGGCUCAACCUGGGAACUGCGUUCUGAACUGGCAAGCUAGAGUGUGUCAGAGGGGGGUAGAAUUCCACGUGUAGCAGUGAAAUGCGUAGAGAUGUGGAGGAAUACCGAUGGCGAAGGCAGCCCCCUGGGAUAACACUGACGUUCAUGCUCGAAAGCGUGGGUAGCAAACAGGAUUAGAUACCCUGGUAGUCCACGCCCUAAACGAUGUCAAUUAGCUGUUGGGCAACUUGAUUGCUUAGUAGCGUAGCUAACGCGUGAAAUUGACCGCCUGGGGAGUACGGUCGCAAGAUUAAAACUCAAAGGAAUUGACGGGGACCCGCACAAGCGGGUGGAUGAUGUGGAUUAAUUCGAUGCAACGCGAAGAACCUUACCUGGUCUUGACAUGUACGGAAUCCUCCAGAGACGGAGGAGUGCCUUCGGGAGCCGUAACACAGGUGCUGCAUGGCUGUCGUCAGCUCGUGUCGUGAGAUGUUGGGUUAAGUCCCGCAACGAGCGCAACCCUUGUCAUUAGUUGCCAUCAUUAAGUUGGGCACUCUAAUGAGACUGCCGGUGACAAGCCGGAGGAAGGUGGGGAUGACGUCAAGUCCUCAUGGCCCUUAUGACCAGGGCUUCACACGUCAUACAAUGGUCGGUACAGAGGGUAGCCAAGCCGCGAGGUGGAGCCAAUCUCACAAAACCGAUCGUAGUCCGGAUUGCACUCUGCAACUCGAGUGCAUGAAGUCGGAAUCGCUAGUAAUCGCAGGUCAGCAUACUGCGGUGAAUACGUUCCCGGGUCUUGUACACACCGCCCGUCACACCAUGGGAGUGGGGGAUACCAGAAGUAGGUAGGAUAACCUUCGGGAGUCCGCUACCACGG
RNAcentral lists this ribosomal RNA (1452 nucleotides) under Neisseria cinerea. RNAcentral's name for it is "bacterial SSU rRNA". It matches the Rfam family "Bacterial small subunit ribosomal RNA". Lineage: Bacteria; Pseudomonadati; Pseudomonadota; Betaproteobacteria; Neisseriales; Neisseriaceae. The record is from RNAcentral.